RNAcentral lists this ribosomal RNA (206 nucleotides) under Escherichia coli. RNAcentral describes it as "partial 23S ribosomal RNA". It matches the Rfam family "Bacterial large subunit ribosomal RNA", at positions 290 to 499 of the family's 2925-position model. The record is from RNAcentral. Lineage: Bacteria; Pseudomonadati; Pseudomonadota; Gammaproteobacteria; Enterobacterales; Enterobacteriaceae.
GAACGGGGAGGAGCCCAGAGCCUGAAUCAGUGUGUGUGUUAGUGGAAGCGUCUGGAAAGGCGCGCGAUACAGGGUGACAGCCCCGUACACAAAAAUGCACAUACUGUGAGCUCGAUGAGUAGGGCGGGACACGUGGUAUCCUGUCUGAAUAUGGGGGGACCAUCCUCCAAGGCUAAAUACUCCUGACUGACCGAUAGUGAACCAGU